GAUGAAGAACGUAGCGAAAUGCGAUAAGUAAUGUGAAUUGCAGAAUUCAGUGAAUCAUCGAAUCUUUGAACGCACAUUGCGCCCGCCAGUAUUCUGGCGGGCAUGCCUGUUCGAGCGUCAUUACAACCCUCAGGCCCCCGGGCCUGGCGUUGGGGAUCGGCGGAAGCCCCCUGCGGGCACAACGCCGUCCCCCAAAUACAGUGGCGGUCCCGCCGCAGCUUCCAUUGCGUAGUAGCUAACACCUCGCAACUGGAGAGCGGCGCGGCCACGCCGUAAAACACCCAACUUCUGAAUGUUGACCUCGAAUCAGGUAGGAAUACCCGCUGAACUUAUGCAUAUCAAUAAGCGGAGGA
Molecule: unclassified non-coding RNA, 353 nt
Filed under: soil metagenome
Description: partial contains 5.8S ribosomal RNA, internal transcribed spacer 2, and large subunit ribosomal RNA
Rfam family: 5.8S ribosomal RNA (bases 1-120)
Source: RNAcentral